This 933-nucleotide ribosomal RNA is filed under the name Triticum aestivum (bread wheat). Its description in RNAcentral is "partial small subunit ribosomal RNA". Lineage: Eukaryota; Viridiplantae; Streptophyta; Magnoliopsida; Poales; Poaceae. The record is from RNAcentral.
AUGUGCCCCUCGCCCGCUGCUGCUGAUCCACCUCCGCCGGCCUGGCCGAGCCCCAGCUGCUGCGCGUGCACUGCCAUCGGCGCGGGGAUGUUCAUGAAAUGUAGCCCGCUCGGCACGCCGCGGUACACGGUCGCCGAGCCGCCGCCGCCGCUUCCGGGUUGCGGGAACGUCCAGAUCGACUCGCCGCCACCGGCAGGCGCCGCUCCGGCGCCCUGGGCGUGGCUCGUCGGCACCAUCCACACAGUGCCCGGCAUUUGGCUCUGCGUGUACCCGGCCAUCUGCUGCUGGUACUGUUGUUGCUGUUGCUGUUGGUGUCGCUGCUGCUGCAUUUCUUGCUCCCAACGCCGCUUCCUGGACAGUUCCGUGUUGGCCGCGGCCGUCGCCGACGAUGGCGAAACGUCGAGGCCGACGCUUCCAGAGUGGAAGCUCAGCAGCAGCGGGGACGACGAGGAGGUGGUGGUGGAUGCCGGGCUCUCGAGGCCGCCGCCGAACCCGAGACCGACGAAGCGGUCCCACGCGUCAGCCCGAGCGGAGGGAGAUGUUGAGAGAGGUGAAGUUGGCCGGGAUGGUGCCUGUGCCGGUUGCCGCGAUCACAGCGGGCUCCGCCUGCUGCAGGAGCCACUCGAUGGUCUCGCCGUCCGUCUUGUGCCCCAGCUCCCGCGUCAGCUGGAACACCCGCGCCGCGCAGAUCGCCGGCAUCCGGAUGCGGCGGCCGCGGCCGUCCACCUUCGUAUGCCGGUCCUUGCUCGUGGUCCGCUUAGGCGGCGCCGCCUUCCGCACCUGCAGCUCCCCCGUCGCCGACCCAUUCGUCCCGAGCCCAGCAGCCGGGGAGAUGGAGCACGGAUGUUCCUCCUUCUUUUCGAGGAGCUGCAGGGGGGAGUUGGGGCGGCGACCUCCACCGGCGUCCCCGGUAACGUCCAUGGUCUCGAUUAG